RNAcentral lists this ribosomal RNA (3829 nucleotides) under Triticum aestivum (bread wheat). RNAcentral describes it as "partial small subunit ribosomal RNA". The stretch from base 2410 to 2496 matches the Rfam family "MIR1120/MIR1122 microRNA precursor family". Lineage: Eukaryota; Viridiplantae; Streptophyta; Magnoliopsida; Poales; Poaceae. The record is from RNAcentral.
GCGGAAACCACGCGACAUCCAAGAGAGAGAGCGUCCAAAGCGCGGGAACCGCGCGACGUGCGAGGGAGAGCGUCCAAUCCCUGUGCGCCGCACGCACUACACCCCAUUCGUCACCACCCCACCAAAUGCCACAGUGGCUCCUCCACAGCCGCCCGCAACCCUUUCCCCUUUUCCCCAGCUCCUCCUCCAUCCUCUUGUGCCCCCCUCCCACAUCUCAUCCACCCCCUCAUCUCUGACCGGGUCCGUGACAUGCGGGACGGAGGCGAGCUUCUCCAGCGUCGGCGACCUGCAGGCGAAGGGCGAGGGCGUCGGCGCUUGAUUUGAGGCAGCAUCAUGGAUCGGUCCCUGCUAAGCCACGAGAUUGCUGGACUGCCACCAUCCCUCCUGCACUGUGCGUUGCCUCCUGCGAGUGUCACCUUGCCCCACUAGCUUCCAGCGCCAUGGAUCCUCCAGAGAUGGAGGGCAACAAGUGAGAGGGAGUAGGAGAACAGGUGAAUCGAGGGAGUGAAAGAAGGAGCUCACACGGGAAGGGGAAGAGGGAGUCUGGCGGCGUAUCCUCAUCUCAUCCCUGGCUGUAGAUCUUUUGACGCCAUGGCACCAGUGGUAGCUCCUCGAUGGAGCGCCUCCUCCCAUGACGGCACGACCAGCCGCUCUGGCUCGACGCCACGAUACACAACGAGGUAGGCUCCACUGCCUUUCUCCUCUCUCCCAUGUGAUUUGUUCUCUGUUGAUUUCCCCUCUUGCCUAUUCUAAUUCGCGGUCAAAACAAUGGCGGAUUUCUUCAUUGUUGAUCUGAUUUGGGGCAGAUUUUCCUCUAGAUUCCUUCCUUUUACAGUUCCUUUUUGACUUGUUGUUCAUCACGUCGAUGGCUUCCACCGAGCAGAGGCCCUCUUCAUCUCGGCAGAGGAGAAGAACGGCCAGGAGCUGGCGGCCUGCUACCCUAUGCCAAUGGAUGCGCCUCCCAGAUGGCUAGCAAUGCCAGAUCGAAAGGGCUCUAUGGUAGGUUUGGUUUAUUCACCACCCCAUGAAGUAUUGUUCUUUCUGUAAUUUAUUUAUGUAGAUUUAACCUCAGACCUCAUAGAGGUAGUCAUCUUGGAUUACUUUGAAGUAUUGUUAUUGGUCACAUGUUUAUUAGGUUUAAAUGCCACUAUUCUGCAUGGGUUGUUACUAACACAAAUUGUGUUGUGAUUAGGCACCAAUCCUAUUAUUGAAGCCACUGGAUAGUUGCCGUUAGCUGUAAUGUGAUUAGCUACCAAUCCUAUUAUUGAAGCUAUUAUGGUAUAUGUUGCUGCUACAUAAAUAUACUUUUAUGUGAUCAUGAAAUUGCAUUCAGUUUUAGUAUUCUCUGGUGCUGGAAGAGCUAACAUGUAUCAAGCUAGGAGUACAAUUCCUUUUUGUAAAUCUGGCUAAUGCUGACAAUGGACAUGCUUUGAUGUUUUUCUUUUCUCAUACCGUUAGGCAGAUUGAGAAGCUGAUCCGAGCGAAGCAAUGAUGUUUGGUGUUCUUCUGCUGGAGCUGAUCACCAGGAGAACAAUCUAUGAUGCUUCGAGGCCUAAACCAGAGCAGAGCUUGCUAACAUGGGUAAUCAGUUCUACAUUGCCAUAAUUCAAUAAGUAGCAAUCUGAGCAAGGCACCAGUGUAGAUUGAGAAAGACACAAUCUAAGAAGUACUCCCUCCGUCCAAAAAUACUUGUCGAAGAAAUGAGUGUACCUAGACGUAUUUUAGUUCUAGAUACACCCAUUUUUGUCCAUUUCUCCGACAAGUGUUUCCGAACGGAGGGAGUAGAACACAAAAUUAGAAAUAAUUUGUGCGCAUCAUGUGUAUGUUUGCUCAUGAGAGGAUAAGAGUAUGUAGAACAGUUUUCUCAACAAUGUGUGCAUCAGUACAAAUUGAAUGAAUGUCCCCUUAGUUUAAAGGAUCCCAUAUAUUUUGGUUUAUACUUCAAGUUCCUCAUGAAACAACUAUGUGUUAAAUUGUUAAAAAAGCAACUAGAGGUUAUCAACAUAGGAUUAUGGCAUUUACUAUCAUUUAUACUUCUACUGAAUUUGAGUGACUGCUCAGGUUUGUAACUUACCCCGGAUGCUACAAGUUCAUAAUAAGAUUUUGAUUCCUGUCUAGAGGUAAUUGUUCUUAGAAAAGUGACAUGGAUAACGAAAGAGAACAUGGUAUGCAUAUUUGAUAGUAGGAGACCUACUCCCUGACAACAUCUCAGUUCAAAAUAUCAAACAGUUAUUAUCUUUGUAGCAUAACAAAUUAUGCAUGCUCAACUAUAUAUUUUGAAACCUUAGUCUUUCUUAAAUUUUCAUAUAAAAAGGGUUACAAUUGGUACCACAACAUGAUACUGAAAACCUUGAUUAGUGUUACAGUUUGUUGCAGUUUUAUUUUUCCUUCAAAUUGUGUUUAUAACAUAUACUCCCUCCGUCUCAUAAUGUAAGACAUUUUUUCACACUAGAGUAGCGUCAAAAAACGUCUUACAUUAUGGGACGGAGGGAGUAUUAUAUUUUCAGCUAUUAGAAUAAAGUGUGCAUAUCUUGGUUUUACUUACCCGCAAAACAUUUUUUAUAAGCUUGCGUGCUAUUAGAGUACAUUGUGUGUAUCUUGGUUUGAGUUACCUACAAAACUAUUUUUUAGAAGCUUGCAGAUUUCUAUUUAGGAAUCAGAUUUCUCUACUGAAUAUGCGAUUUUCACUUCCAAGUGGUAAAUUCUUUGAUCUUUUUGUCAUCUACUUUGACUUGUUAACAUCUACUCCCUCCGUUCCAGAAUAGAUGACUCAACUUUAUACUAACUUUAGUACAAAGUUGGGUCAUCUAUUUUGGAACGGAGAGAGUACAUAUCUAAGGAGCGGGAGGUGAAAGUGCAAAUCGAAAUUUCUAUUUUGGAAUGCAAUGUUCUCUACUAAAUGUGAUUAUCACUUUCGUGUGGUAAUUAAUUUCUGAGCCUGUAAUUUCUUUGAUGCAGAAAACUACUACGGAUGCUGAUCCAUCACAAUAUUGACCAUUAACUUUGUGCUCAUCUCCGAGGUUAUUUUGCGUAUAGCCAUUUGCUUCUCUGGCAUUUCCUUGAAGCUGCCAUUGCAAGAGGAAACAGAAGGAUAUCUUCGUGAUCAGCACAUUGGUGUCUAAGGCUACUUGUUGUGUCACUACGCCCGGCAAGUGCGUGAAUAACAUGGAUAGAUCAAUACAGAUAGGUUAAUUACCGACUAUCAUAGCUAAAAGUUCUAAAAAAUCAUCUGAAGUGAUGUUCUUUUGGUUUUCCGUUCAAAUAUCAUUGAUCCUUGUGCCUGCCGAAUCUCUAAUUUAACACAUGUUGGCAGUCUGACAAAUAGUAAGACACUUCUGGUGGUGCUAAUUAACUCGUCUGAGCCUGAAUGAUAAAGAAAUAUUUUUUUAUCAAUUUACUAACUAGAUUUCUUCAAGUUAACAACUUUAAGUUGUUGAUCGAACUGCACAUUAUAUGAAGAAGAAGAAAAAUGUUUUUUUGUAUCUCGAAUUAUUUUUGGGAUCCACAGAGGGAGAAGUCUAUAACUUGUAUUCAGCGGUGAGCAGCAGAAAAUUGGUCAGGUGGAGGGGAUGGGUUUGGAUGUACCUUUGGUUCUUUUGUCCUAGCACAUCCUGGUGAGAGUGAAAAAGAAGAUUUGUAGCAGAGAAUCUUCUAUUCAUGAGAUUAUGAGAACAACAUGACAUAAGUUUUUUCUUCGAAAAAAAUCCCCCAGCUUCAGCUGCCUGUUUUUUGUUGAUGGCGGCACAUGUCCAGCCUAGCCUUGGUCGGUUUCAGUGUUGCAAACGAGGUGUUGUUCAGUUAACUUGCCGUCAGUUGGGAUUGCUGUGCA